RNAcentral lists this ribosomal RNA (525 nucleotides) under uncultured bacterium. Its description in RNAcentral is "bacterial SSU rRNA". It matches the Rfam family "Bacterial small subunit ribosomal RNA", at positions 772 to 1290 of the family's 1533-position model. The record is from RNAcentral.
ACUCAAUAGAUACCCGGGUAGUCCUGGCCUUAAACGAUGGAUGCUUGGUGUCUGGAGUUUUAUAGUCUCCGGGUGCCGUAGCUAAACGCGUUAAGCAUCCCGCCUGGGGAGUACGGUCGCAAGACUGAAACUCAAAGGAAUUGACGGGGGACCCGCACAAGCGGUGGAGCAUGUGGUUCAAUUCGACGCAACGCGAAGAACCUUACCUGGGCUAGAAUGCCUCUGACAACCCUAGAGAUAGGGCUUCCUAGGGAAACCUAGGCAGAGUGCAAGGUGCUGCAUGGCUGUCGUCAGCUCGUGUCGUGAGAUGUUGGGUUAAGUCCCGCAACGAGCGCAACCCUUAUCGAUAGUUGCUAGCGGUUCGGCCGAGCACUCUAUUGAGACUGCCGUUGACAAAACGGAGGAAGGUGGGGAUGACGUCAAGUCCUCAUGGCCUUUAUGUCCAGGGCUACACACGUGCUACAAUGGCAAGUACAAAGCGCUGCAAACUCGCGAGAGGGAGCCAAUCGCAAAAAGCUUGUCUCA